CCGCGCAGCUCCGCCCCCACGAAGCCCCACCCACACGCCAUCGAUGGGAGAGGCCAGGACGCGGCGGGAGGGGUGUGGCCUGUGCCCGGAGCCCAGGCUGGAGGCGGCCUUCAGCAGACUCAGGGUCUCACGAGCUGCUGUCAGGGCAGGGCAGAGUAUUGCGUCUGGAAUUUUGCCGCUUCUUGGUUGACAGAAUCCAAGGGUAUAUUGUCACAGAGAAGACUCCAGCCUGAUGUCUAUGGGACCUGAGUCCACACUGUGGAGGGCACAAGCUGUGGGAGGG
RNAcentral lists this long non-coding RNA (283 nucleotides) under Homo sapiens (human). RNAcentral describes it as "HSALNT0340182". Lineage: Eukaryota; Metazoa; Chordata; Mammalia; Primates; Hominidae. The record is from RNAcentral.